Equus caballus (horse) is the source of this 755-nucleotide non-coding RNA. Lineage: Eukaryota; Metazoa; Chordata; Mammalia; Perissodactyla; Equidae. The record is from RefSeq and is a predicted model, not a curated record.
AGCAAGCCGGAGUCCCAUGCAGUGUGCUUUGCUAUGUCUGGGGACCUGAUGUAAGUGACAGGAAAUAAGUGACAUGUCUAACAGGAUUUUGAAUCCCGAAACACGGCUCUUCAUGCGGUUGCUAUAGUUACUUCUCUAUGUGAUGCUCUCAUUUUUGCUGGGGUAACAAUGGAUCCACUGUUAGCCAUUGAGGUGUUGAACCCCCACCACCAUCCUGAAACCUGAGGGACAUUUUAAUAGGUUUAAAAUAGCAUUCUUGCCUUUUAAUCAUUUCAGAAGCUCCUAGAACAUGAACAGAUCCUGUACUAUGGCAGCUUUACAAAUAUUGCUAUUUGCUCCUUGUGUAAGACAUAGGAACUCUCUAAAGAGUCAUAAUGGCGAAGAGGAUGGUGACAUCCAAGGACAACCACAGGGCCUCACUCUGAAGACUGGUGAGAAUCAGACUCCUCCUCCUGGUUCUGCAGCUCCCAGCAGAGUUCUGGAAGCUGAUUAAAGAGAAGAUCAGAAAUAAUAGAUCACUCGCUCUGGGAGACGCCAGCUGCCAUGUUGUCAGGAGAGGCUCAUGUGAAGAGGAACUACUGCUUCCUGAUAAAAACUACAUGGAGAGCUUGGAAGCGAAUUCUCCUGCCCCCGCCAAGCCUUCAGCUGACUGCAGCCCCAGCUGACAUCCAGACCACAGGGUCUACUACCUACCUCAUCUGCUUCCAAAUCCUUGACCCACAGAAACUGUGAGAUAAAAAAUGUUUGCUGUUUUA